RNAcentral lists this ribosomal RNA (421 nucleotides) under Amazophrynella aff. manaos ABGD cluster 4. RNAcentral's name for it is "partial large subunit ribosomal RNA". It matches the Rfam family "Bacterial large subunit ribosomal RNA", at positions 1835 to 2457 of the family's 2925-position model. Lineage: Eukaryota; Metazoa; Chordata; Amphibia; Anura; Bufonidae. The record is from RNAcentral.
CUUGAACCCUAUAAGAGGUCCAGCCUGCCCAGUGAAACAAUUCAACGGCCGCGGUAUCCUAACCGUGCGAAGGUAGCGUAAUCACUUGUUCUCUAAAUCAGGACUAGUAUGAACGGCAUCACGAGGGUUAUACUGUCUCCUUUUUCCAAUUAGUGAAUUUAAUUUUCCCGUGAAGAAGCGGGAAUAAGCCUAUAAGACGAGAAGACCCUAUGGAGCUUUAAACAAUCUAGCAUCUGCCUAUAUUCUUCAUGUUUCAGAAUUCUCUAGACCUCCUACAUAAUGACUAGAAGUUUUAGGUUGGGGUGACCGCGGAGUAAAACCCAUCCUCCAUAAUGAAAGAAUUUUAAUUCUUAACCAAGAAAUACCUAUCUAAGUAUUAACACACUGACAUUUAUUGACCCAAUACAAUUGAUCAACGAAC